Molecule: ribosomal RNA, 2921 nt
Filed under: Staphylococcus aureus
Lineage: Bacteria; Bacillati; Bacillota; Bacilli; Caryophanales; Staphylococcaceae
Description: bacterial LSU rRNA
Rfam family: Bacterial large subunit ribosomal RNA
Source: RNAcentral
UUAAGUUAUUAAGGGCGCACGGUGGAUGCCUUGGCACGAGAAGCCAAUGAAGGACGUUACUACCGACGAUAUGCUUUGGGGAGCUGUAAGUAAGCUUUGAUCCAGAGAUUUCCGAAUGGGGAAACCCAGCAUGAGUUAUGUCAUGUUAUCGAUAUGUGAAUACAUAGCAUAUCAGAAGGCACACCCGGAGAACUGAAACAUCUUAGUACCCGGAGGAAGAGAAAGAAAAUUCGAUUCCCUUAGUAGCGGCGAGCGAAACGGGAAGAGCCCAAACCAACAAGCUUGCUUGUUGGGGUUGUAGGACACUCUAUACGGAGUUACAAAGGACGACAUUAGACGAAUCAUCUGGAAAGAUGAAUCAAAGAAGGUAAUAAUCCUGUAGUCGAAAAUGUUGUCUCUCUUGAGUGGAUCCUGAGUACGACGGAGCACGUGAAAUUCCGUCGGAAUCUGGGAGGACCAUCUCCUAAGGCUAAAUACUCUCUAGUGACCGAUAGUGAACCAGUACCGUGAGGGAAAGGUGAAAAGCACCCCGGAAGGGGAGUGAAAUAGAACCUGAAACCGUGUGCUUACAAGUAGUCAGAGCCCGUUAAUGGGUGAUGGCGUGCCUUUUGUAGAAUGAACCGGCGAGUUACGAUUUGAUGCAAGGUUAAGCAGUAAAUGUGGAGCCGUAGCGAAAGCGAGUCUGAAUAGGGCGUUUAGUAUUUGGUCGUAGACCCGAAACCAGGUGAUCUACCCUUGGUCAGGUUGAAGUUCAGGUAACACUGAAUGGAGGACCGAACCGACUUACGUUGAAAAGUGAGCGGAUGAACUGAGGGUAGCGGAGAAAUUCCAAUCGAACCUGGAGAUAGCUGGUUCUCUCCGAAAUAGCUUUAGGGCUAGCCUCAAGUGAUGAUUAUUGGAGGUAGAGCACUGUUUGGACGAGGGGCCCCUCUCGGGUUACCGAAUUCAGACAAACUCCGAAUGCCAAUUAAUUUAACUUGGGAGUCAGAACAUGGGUGAUAAGGUCCGUGUUCGAAAGGGAAACAGCCCAGACCACCAGCUAAGGUCCCAAAAUAUAUGUUAAGUGGAAAAGGAUGUGGCGUUGCCCAGACAACUAGGAUGUUGGCUUAGAAGCAGCCAUCAUUUAAAGAGUGCGUAAUAGCUCACUAGUCGAGUGACACUGCGCCGAAAAUGUACCGGGGCUAAACAUAUUACCGAAGCUGUGGAUUGUCCUUUGGACAAUGGUAGGAGAGCGUUCUAAGGGCGUUGAAGCAUGAUCGUAAGGACAUGUGGAGCGCUUAGAAGUGAGAAUGCCGGUGUGAGUAGCGAAAGACGGGUGAGAAUCCCGUCCACCGAUUGACUAAGGUUUCCAGAGGAAGGCUCGUCCGCUCUGGGUUAGUCGGGUCCUAAGCUGAGGCCGACAGGCGUAGGCGAUGGAUAACAGGUUGAUAUUCCUGUACCACCUAUAAUCGUUUUAAUCGAUGGGGGGACGCAGUAGGAUAGGCGAAGCGUGCGAUUGGAUUGCACGUCUAAGCAGUAAGGCUGAGUAUUAGGCAAAUCCGGUACUCGUUAAGGCUGAGCUGUGAUGGGGAGAAGACAUUGUGUCUUCGAGUCGUUGAUUUCACACUGCCGAGAAAAGCCUCUAGAUAGAAAAUAGGUGCCCGUACCGCAAACCGACACAGGUAGUCAAGAUGAGAAUUCUAAGGUGAGCGAGCGAACUCUCGUUAAGGAACUCGGCAAAAUGACCCCGUAACUUCGGGAGAAGGGGUGCUCUUUAGGGUUAACGCCCAGAAGAGCCGCAGUGAAUAGGCCCAAGCGACUGUUUAUCAAAAACACAGGUCUCUGCUAAACCGUAAGGUGAUGUAUAGGGGCUGACGCCUGCCCGGUGCUGGAAGGUUAAGAGGAGUGGUUAGCUUCUGCGAAGCUACGAAUCGAAGCCCCAGUAAACGGCGGCCGUAACUAUAACGGUCCUAAGGUAGCGAAAUUCCUUGUCGGGUAAGUUCCGACCCGCACGAAAGGCGUAACGAUUUGGGCACUGUCUCAACGAGAGACUCGGUGAAAUCAUAGUACCUGUGAAGAUGCAGGUUACCCGCGACAGGACGGAAAGACCCCGUGGAGCUUUACUGUAGCCUGAUAUUGAAAUUCGGCACAGCUUGUACAGGAUAGGUAGGAGCCUUUGAAACGUGAGCGCUAGCUUACGUGGAGGCGCUGGUGGGAUACUACCCUAGCUGUGUUGGCUUUCUAACCCGCACCACUUAUCGUGGUGGGAGACAGUGUCAGGCGGGCAGUUUGACUGGGGCGGUCGCCUCCUAAAAGGUAACGGAGGCGCUCAAAGGUUCCCUCAGAAUGGUUGGAAAUCAUUCAUAGAGUGUAAAGGCAUAAGGGAGCUUGACUGCGAGACCUACAAGUCGAGCAGGGUCGAAAGACGGACUUAGUGAUCCGGUGGUUCCGCAUGGAAGGGCCAUCGCUCAACGGAUAAAAGCUACCCCGGGGAUAACAGGCUUAUCUCCCCCAAGAGUUCACAUCGACGGGGAGGUUUGGCACCUCGAUGUCGGCUCAUCGCAUCCUGGGGCUGUAGUCGGUCCCAAGGGUUGGGCUGUUCGCCCAUUAAAGCGGUACGCGAGCUGGGUUCAGAACGUCGUGAGACAGUUCGGUCCCUAUCCGUCGUGGGCGUAGGAAAUUUGAGAGGAGCUGUCCUUAGUACGAGAGGACCGGGAUGGACAUACCUCUGGUGUACCAGUUGUCGUGCCAACGGCAUAGCUGGGUAGCUAUGUGUGGACGGGAUAAGUGCUGAAAGCAUCUAAGCAUGAAGCCCCCCUCAAGAUGAGAUUUCCCAACUUCGGUUAUAAGAUCCCUCAAAGAUGAUGAGGUUAAUAGGUUCGAGGUGGAAGCAUGGUGACAUGUGGAGCUGACGAAUACUAAUCGAUCGAAGACUUAAUCAA